RNAcentral lists this ribosomal RNA (492 nucleotides) under uncultured Acinetobacter sp. RNAcentral describes it as "bacterial SSU rRNA". It matches the Rfam family "Bacterial small subunit ribosomal RNA", at positions 20 to 507 of the family's 1533-position model. Lineage: Bacteria; Pseudomonadati; Pseudomonadota; Gammaproteobacteria; Moraxellales; Moraxellaceae. The record is from RNAcentral.
GGCGUCAGAUUGAACGCUGGCGGCAGGCUUAACACAUGCAAGUCGAGCGGAUGAAAGUAGCUUGCUACUGGAUUCAGCGGCGGACGGGUGAGUAAUGCUUAGGAAUCUGCCAUUAGUGGGGGACAACGUUCCGAAAGGAGCGCUAAUACCGCAUACGUCCUACGGGAGAAAGCAGGGGACCUUCGGGCCUUGCGCUAAUAGAUGAGCCUAAGUCGGAUUAGCUAGUUGGUAGGGUAAAGGCCUACCAAGGCGACGAUCUGUAGCGGGUCUGAGAGGAUGAUCCGCCACACUGGGACUGAGACACGGCCCAGACUCCUACGGGAGGCAGCAGUGGGGAAUAUUGGACAAUGGGGGGAACUCUGAUCCAGCCAUGCCGCGUGUGUGAAGAAGGCCUUUUGGUUGUAAAGCACUUUAAGCGAGGAGGAGGCUACCUAGAUUAAUACUUUAGGAUAGUGGACGUUACUCGCAGAAUAAGCACCGGCUAACUCUGUG